CUGCAGAGCAAGAAUUUAAUUGCAAGCUCUUGACCUCUAUACCAGAUUACCACUCCAUAUCAUAAUGAAAGCUUUGUUUGUUGCUUAACUUCAUCAUGAUUUGAAGGUGAAAGAGGGUCAACUUUACAGUCAGUUUCACAAAGAAAAGUCUGCCCCUUAUAGUCUCUUAGUGAGCCAUUCUCUGUCCUGAACUGUGCCUUUUUUUAUAGGUGAUAAGAAAGUUUUUCGGAAUAGAUUGCUAACGGGUUUGAAGUCUUUCAAAGGAGGAAAGGUUGAUAUCGGUAACCUGAAGACGAUUCUUGGGAACAUGGGGAUCAAGCUCAAAAAUAAGGAACUUCAAAGUGUGAUACAAAAUCAACCUGUUGAUGCUAAUGGAAAUGUUCCUCUGAAAAAGGUGAUGGAUGAUGUGAAAGCAAUUAUAGGAGAAAAACUUAAUGUGGAAAAUCUAAAAAAUAUUCUCGAAGGCCUUGGAAUAGAAUUCACACCUAAAGAAUACUUGGAACUGGUACAAAAUCUGCAAAUUGAUGGUGAGCACUUCAAAUACUACUGGACCUUUUGAAGAAGUUUAGCCCUAUGUACUUAAGACAACCUAACAAAAAAAAAAAGAAAAAAGAUACCUGUUGGAUAUUCUAGUUUAAAAAAUAAAAAUGGCGGCCGGGCGCAGUGGCUCACGCCAGUAAUCCCAGCACUUUGGAAGGCCGAGGCGGGCAGAUCACGAGGUCAGGAGAUCGGGACCAACCUGGCUAACACGGUGAAACACCGUCUCUACUAAAAAUACAAAAACCUAGCUGGGCAUGGUAGCACACGCCUGUAGUCCUAGCUACUCGGAAGGCUGAGGCAGGAGAAUGGAGUGAACCUGGGAGGCAGAGCUUGCAGUGAGCGGAGAUGUGCCACUGCACUCCAGUCUGGGCGACAGAGCGAGACUCUGUCUCAAAAAAAUAAUAAUAAAAUAAAUAAAUAAAAAUGACAGUGUAAGAAAUUUUAGCAUGACCUUGUUCUUCCUUUGAGAAGUUCUUUCUUUGAGAGUCAGCAACUCUGUUUUCUUGAAAUCUUGC
RNAcentral lists this long non-coding RNA (1055 nucleotides) under Cercocebus atys (sooty mangabey). RNAcentral describes it as "lncRNA (ENSCATG00000045611.1)". The record is from RNAcentral. Lineage: Eukaryota; Metazoa; Chordata; Mammalia; Primates; Cercopithecidae.